UACGUAGGGGGCAAGCGUUGUCCGGAUUUAUUGGGCGUAAAGAGCGUGUAGGCGGCCUGACAGGUCUGCUGUGAAAACUCGAGGCUCAACCUCGAGAUGUCGGCGGAAACCGUCUGGCUAGAGUCCGGAAGAGGAGAGUGGAAUUCCUGGUGUAGCGGUGAAAUGCGCAGAUAUCAGGAAGGACACCUAUGGCGAAGGCAGCUCUCUGGGACGGUACUGACGCUGAGACGCGAAAGCGUGGGGAGCGAACAGG
RNAcentral lists this ribosomal RNA (253 nucleotides) under uncultured bacterium. RNAcentral's name for it is "partial 16S ribosomal RNA". It matches the Rfam family "Bacterial small subunit ribosomal RNA", at positions 524 to 776 of the family's 1533-position model. The record is from RNAcentral.